This 68-nucleotide transfer RNA is filed under the name bovine gut metagenome. It matches the Rfam family "tRNA". Rfam says of the family: Transfer RNA (tRNA) molecules are approximately 80 nucleotides in length. The record is from RNAcentral.
CUUGUAGCUCAGCUGGAUAGAGCAACUGCCUUCUAAGCAGUGGGUCGGGGGUUCGAGUCCCUCCAGGC